This 102-nucleotide non-coding RNA is filed under the name Fictibacillus macauensis. RNAcentral describes it as "Guanine sequence". It matches the Rfam family "Purine riboswitch aptamer". Rfam says of the family: Riboswitches are metabolite binding domains within certain messenger RNAs that serve as precision sensors for their corresponding targets. Allosteric rearrangement of mRNA structure is mediated by ligand binding, and this results in modulation of gene expression. A class of riboswitches that selectively recognises guanine and becomes saturated at concentrations as low as 5 nM. RNAcentral also lists the same sequence under 1 other name. Lineage: Bacteria; Bacillati; Bacillota; Bacilli; Caryophanales; Fictibacillaceae. The record is from RNAcentral.
AUCGUGAGUUCUAUAUUUAUUCGUAUAAUAUCGGGGAUAUGGCCCGAAAGUUUCUACCAGACUGCCGUAAAUGGUCUGACUACGAAGGUGCAUGGACAUUUA